AGAAUCAACGCUGGCGGCGUGCCUAACACAUGCAAGUCGCACGAGAAAGGGAGCAAUCCCUGAGUACAGCGGCGCACGGGUGAGUAACACGUGAAUUAUCUACCUCCGAGUGGGGAAUAACCAAAGAAAUUUUGGCUAAUACCGCAUAACACCUACGAGUCAAAGCAGCAAUGCGCUUGGAGAGGAGUUCGCGGCAGAUUAGCUAGUUGGCGGGUAAUGGCCCACCAAGGCGAUGAUCUGUA
RNAcentral lists this ribosomal RNA (242 nucleotides) under uncultured bacterium. Its description in RNAcentral is "partial small subunit ribosomal RNA". It matches the Rfam family "Bacterial small subunit ribosomal RNA", at positions 26 to 285 of the family's 1533-position model. The record is from RNAcentral.